Molecule: ribosomal RNA, 1320 nt
Filed under: Escherichia coli
Lineage: Bacteria; Pseudomonadati; Pseudomonadota; Gammaproteobacteria; Enterobacterales; Enterobacteriaceae
Description: partial 23S ribosomal RNA
Rfam family: Bacterial large subunit ribosomal RNA
Source: RNAcentral
ACCCCAAACCGACACAGGUGGUCAGGUAGAGAAUACCAAGGCGCUUGAGAGAACUCGGGUGAAGGAACUAGGCAAAAUGGUGCCGUAACUUCGGGAGAAGGCACGCUGAUAUGUAGGUGAAGUCCCUCGCGGAUGGAGCUGAAAUCAGUCGAAGAUACCAGCUGGCUGCAACUGUUUAUUAAAAACACAGCACUGUGCAAACACGAAAGUGGACGUAUACGGUGUGACGCCUGCCCGGUGCCGGAAGGUUAAUUGAUGGGGUCAGCGCAAGCGAAGCUCUUGAUCGAAGCCCCGGUAAACGGCGGCCGUAACUAUAACGGUCCUAAGGUAGCGAAAUUCCUUGUCGGGUAAGUUCCGACCUGCACGAAUGGCGUAAUGAUGGCCAGGCUGUCUCCACCCGAGACUCAGUGAAAUUGAACUCGCUGUGAAGAUGCAGUGUACCCGCGGCAAGACGGAAAGACCCCGUGAACCUUUACUAUAGCUUGACACUGAACAUUGAGCCUUGAUGUGUAGGAUAGGUGGGAGGCUUUGAAGUGUGGACGCCAGUCUGCAUGGAGCCGACCUUGAAAUACCACCCUUUAAUGUUUGAUGUUCUAACGUGGACCCGUGAUCCGGGUUGCGGACAGUGUCUGGUGGGUAGUUUGACUGGGGCGGUCUCCUCCUAAAGAGUAACGGAGGAGCACGAAGGUUGGCUAAUCCUGGUCGGACAUCAGGAGGUUAGUGCAAUGGCAUAAGCCAGCUUGACUGCGAGCGUGACGGCGCGAGCAGGUGCGAAAGCAGGUCAUAGUGAUCCGGUGGUUCUGAAUGGAAGGGCCAUCGCUCAACGGAUAAAAGGUACUCCGGGGAUAACAGGCUGAUACCGCCCAAGAGUUCAUAUCGACGGCGGUGUUUGGCACCUCGAUGUCGGCUCAUCACAUCCUGGGGCUGAAGUAGGUCCCAAGGGUAUGGCUGUUCGCCAUUUAAAGUGGUACGCGAGCUGGGUUUAGAACGUCGUGAGACAGUUCGGUCCCUAUCUGCCGUGGGCGCUGGAGAACUGAGGGGGGCUGCUCCUAGUACGAGAGGACCGGAGUGGACGCAUCACUGGUGUUCGGGUUGUCAUGCCAAUGGCACUGCCCGGUAGCUAAAUGCGGAAGAGAUAAGUGCUGAAAGCAUCUAAGCACGAAACUUGCCCCGAGAUGAGUUCUCCCUGACCCUUUAAGGGUCCUGAAGGAACGUUGAAGACGACGACGUUGAUAGGCCGGGUGUGUAAGCGCAGCGAUGCGUUGAGCUAACCGGUACUAAUGAACCGUGAGGCUUAACCUUACAACGCCGAAGGUGUUU